RNAcentral lists this transfer RNA (65 nucleotides) under Heterocephalus glaber (naked mole-rat). It matches the Rfam family "tRNA". From Rfam's summary of the family: Transfer RNA (tRNA) molecules are approximately 80 nucleotides in length. Lineage: Eukaryota; Metazoa; Chordata; Mammalia; Rodentia; Bathyergidae. The record is from Rfam by way of RNAcentral.
GGUGUAGCUGAGUGGUAGAGCACUUGCCUAGUAUGCAUGAGGCCCUGGGUUUGAGCCCCAGCACC